GAGUAACGCGUAUGCAACUUACCUAUCAGAGGGGGAUAACCCGGCGAAAGUCGGACUAAUACCGCAUGAAGCAGGGGCCCCGCAUGGGGAUAUUUGCUAAAGAUUCAUCGCUGAUAGAUAGGCAUGCGUUCCAUUAGGCAGUUGGCGGGGUAACGGCCCACCAAACCGACGAUGGAUAGGGGUUCUGAGAGGAAGGUCCCCCACAUUGGUACUGAGACACGGACCAAACUCCUACGGGAGGCAGCAGUGAGGAAUAUUGGUCAAUGGGCGUAAGCCUGAACCAGCCAAGUCGCGUGAGGGAUGAAGGUUCUAUGGAUCGUAAACCUCUUUUAUAAGGGAAUAAAGUGCGGGACGUGUCCUGUUUUGUAUGUACCUUAUGAAUAAGGAUCGGCUAACUCCGUGCCAGCAGCCGCGGUAAUACGGAGGAUCCGAGCGUUAUCCGGAUUUAUUGGGUUUAAAGGGUGCGUAGGCGGCCUUUUAAGUCAGCGGUGAAAGUCUGUGGCUCAACCAUAGAAUUGCCGUUGAAACUGGGGGGCUUGAGUAUGUUUGAGGCAGGCGGAAUGCGUGGUGUAGCGGUGAAAUGCUUAGAUAUCACGCAGAACCCCGAUUGCGAAGGCAGCCUGCCAAGCCAUGACUGACGCUGAUGCACGAAAGCGUGGGGAUCAAACAGGAUUAGAUACCCUGGUAGUCCACGCAGUAAACGAUGAUCACUAGCUGUUUGCGAUACACUGUAAGCGGCACAGCGAAAGCGUUAAGUGAUCCGCCUGGGGAGUACGCCGGCAACGGUGAAAC
RNAcentral lists this ribosomal RNA (792 nucleotides) under uncultured bacterium. Its description in RNAcentral is "bacterial SSU rRNA". It matches the Rfam family "Bacterial small subunit ribosomal RNA", at positions 108 to 900 of the family's 1533-position model. The record is from RNAcentral.